This 467-nucleotide ribosomal RNA is filed under the name Centipeda noxia. RNAcentral describes it as "bacterial SSU rRNA". It matches the Rfam family "Bacterial small subunit ribosomal RNA", at positions 28 to 472 of the family's 1533-position model. The record is from RNAcentral. Lineage: Bacteria; Bacillati; Bacillota; Negativicutes; Selenomonadales; Selenomonadaceae.
GACGAACGCUGGCGGCGUGCUUAACACAUGCAAGUCGAACGGAGCGAAUGAAAGCUUGCUUUUAUAAGCUUAGUGGCAAACGGGUGAGUAACACGUAGGCAACCUGCCGACAGGAUGGGGACAACAUUCCGAAAGGAAUGCUAAUACCGAAUGAAGCGCAGGAGAGGCAUCUCUCCUGCGUGAAAGAUGGCCUCUAUAUAUAAGCUAUCACCUGUCGAUGGGCCUGCGUCUGAUUAGCUGGUAGGUGAGGUAACGGCUCACCUAGGCGACGAUCAGUAGCCGGUCUGAGAGGAUGAACGGCCACAUUGGGACUGAGACACGGCCCAGACUCCUACGGGAGGCAGCAGUGGGGAAUCUUCCGCAAUGGGCGCAAGCCUGACGGAGCAACGCCGCGUGAGUGAAGAGGGUCUUCGGAUCGUAAAGCUCUGUUGAUGGGGACGAACGUGCCUAAUGCGAAUAGUAUUAGG